GACGAACGCUGGCGGCGUGCCUAAUACAUGCAAGUUGAGCGCUGAAGGUUGGUACUUGUACCAACUGGAUGAGCAGCGAACGGGUGAGUAACGCGUGGGGAAUCUGCCUUUGAGCGGGGGACAACAUUUGGAAACGAAUGCUAAUACCGCAUAAAAACUUUAAACACAAGUUUUAAGUUUGAAAGAUGCAAUUGCAUCACUCAAAGAUGAUCCCGCGUUGUAUUAGCUAGUUGGUGAGGUAAAGGCUCACCAAGGCGAUGAUACAUAGCCGACCUGAGAGGGUGGUCGGCCACAUUGGGACUGAGCCACGGCCCAAACUCCUACGGGAGGCAGCAGUAGGGAAUCUUCGGCAAUGGACGAAAGUCUGACCGCGCAACGCCGCGUGAGUGCAGAAGGUUGUCGGAUCGUAAAACUCUGUUGGUAGAGAAGAACGUUGGUGAGAGUGGAAAGCUCAUCAAGUGACGGUAACUACCCAGAAAGGGACGGCUAACUACGUG
RNAcentral lists this ribosomal RNA (497 nucleotides) under uncultured bacterium. Its description in RNAcentral is "partial 16S ribosomal RNA". It matches the Rfam family "Bacterial small subunit ribosomal RNA", at positions 28 to 507 of the family's 1533-position model. The record is from RNAcentral.